UACGUAGGAUGCAAGCGUCAAUCGGAAUUACUGGGCGUAAAGCGUGCGCAGGCGGUUUUGUAAGUCUGACGUGAAAUCCCCGGGCUCAACCUGGGAAUUGCGUUGGAGACUGCAAGGCUAGAAUCUGGCAGAGGGGGGUAGAAUUCCACGUGUAGCAGUGAAAUGCGUAGAGAUGUGGAGGAACACCGAUGGCGAAGGCAGCCCCCUGGGUCAAGAUUGACGCUCAUGCACGAAAGCGUGGGGAGCAAACAGG
Molecule: ribosomal RNA, 253 nt
Filed under: uncultured bacterium
Lineage: Bacteria
Description: partial 16S ribosomal RNA
Rfam family: Bacterial small subunit ribosomal RNA
Source: RNAcentral